This 455-nucleotide ribosomal RNA is filed under the name uncultured bacterium. RNAcentral describes it as "bacterial SSU rRNA". It matches the Rfam family "Bacterial small subunit ribosomal RNA", at positions 29 to 524 of the family's 1533-position model. The record is from RNAcentral.
AACGAACGCUGGCGGCAGGCUUAACACAUGCAAGUCGAACGCCCCGCAAGGGGAGUGGCGCACGGGUGAGUAACGCGUGGGAAUAUGCCCUUCGGUUCGGAAUAACACAGGGAAACUUGUGCUAAUACCGGAUACGAUCUACGGAUGAAAGAUUCAUCGCCGAGGGAGUAGCCCGCGUCAGAUUAGCUAGUUGGUGGGGUAAUGGCCUACCAAGGCGACGAUCUGUAGCUGGUCUGAGAGGAUGAUCAGCCACACUGGGACUGAGACACGGCCCAGACUCCUACGGGAGGCAGCAGUGGGGAAUAUUGGACAAUGGGCGAAAGCCUGAUCCAGCAAUGCCGCGUGAGUGAUGAAGGCCUUAGGGUUGUAAAGGACUCUUUUACCCCGGGGUAUGAUAAUGACAGUACCGGGAGGAAUAAGCCCGGCCUAACUACCGUGCCAGCAGCCGCGGUAAU